Molecule: long non-coding RNA, 150 nt
Organism: Metopolophium dirhodum (rose-grain aphid)
Lineage: Eukaryota; Metazoa; Arthropoda; Insecta; Hemiptera; Aphididae
Exons: 4
Source: RefSeq, a predicted model, not a curated record
UCGAUAUACUGCUGGCAUUCUUCGAGGUCAGUACGAGUUAUUCGAAUGCUGACGAUGAUUUAUAUGAGCCACGACUGUUUUGUUAUAAGGAAAUUAAUAAGAAAAGCCUGUUCAGUAGUGUUGUCUGCAAUAAGAAGAUCGUGAAAUUAG